Molecule: long non-coding RNA, 1311 nt
Organism: Ooceraea biroi (clonal raider ant)
Lineage: Eukaryota; Metazoa; Arthropoda; Insecta; Hymenoptera; Formicidae
Source: RefSeq, a predicted model, not a curated record
CAAUCCAAUGUAUGGGCAUUCAAUUAUUUUCAUGUAACAUCGAAACUUUUGGACACGUAAAAGUGCAAUAUAAAGAUGCAUCUUUUCAUGGCAUGUAUUAGCAAAAACUAUUAAAUCUUUUUUUAAAAUCAGAGUUUCUUCGUAGUACCUUAAACUCAAAUUGCUUGAAAGAGUAUUAUUCAGCUUUUUGAAUUAUUUAGACGCGUUUGCUUGUAGUCGGCUAGGCACGUUUAAUUGAUGCGUUCCUUCGCCACAAUGCACGGCGGUUGUAUUUUGAUUCGUGCACAGUGGAUGCACCCGUGCAUGGGCAGUCAAAUCGUCCAAUCUAGUGGCUUACCCAAGUCGUUUUUAACAAGAUAUUUCCGUAUUGUCGCGCGCGCGUACACACACGCGAAAGCGCGCCCCGGCGUGCUCCGUCCGGUCGUGUCAGCGCUAAAUGGACCAUCAGGGCCGCCAUAAAUCCUGAGACUAUCAGAUCAGCGGUCACAGCAGACCCGACUGUCCCAGAUAUAACGACGGACCACCGCCCAGCGUAAUGGAAGAGCUCACUGUCGACGCGCGAGAGAUACGUCCUAGAUGGAAUCUGCACGAACCUGUCCGCGAGGACACACAGACUCCACCUGACUUCGUCAUUAACCCUUCAUGGCUUUGCUUGGUUUCCCGCGAAAUGACGCUUUAAACAUCGUAUAAAGAAGCGCGGCACGUCUCGCUGGAGCAGGUAAAGAGCCGAGGAACAUUGUUAAUUACAUGGUCGUGCCGAUAUCGAUACUGGCUACCGGAGGCGAAGUAACCGAAGUACUGGCCUAUAGUAAAGAUGGCAUCGUGCACUAACGAGUAACAAGUGGCGUGACGUUUCAGUUAGGCUUUACUUCGCCCAGGACUGGCAAAGAGGAAGAUAUCGGUAUGCCACGACGAACUACCUAUCGCCUCGCCUGGCCGGAGGCUAAUUAACGCGGAGAUUCAUUAUCGACACCUAGCCGUUCUCGCUACCGUCUUAAUUUAAACAUUUCCGAUCCUUUGUACCUUCAUUACUUGUUACAAUAACGGCAGCAAUAUGUAAAUUAAUCAUUUACCAGUAGUACAAAAAAUAUAUUUUAUAUAGUAUAAAUAAAGUGCUGGAAACAUCUCCUUGAUGACAAAUAUUAAGAUACAAAUUAGAAAAUUAUGAUUGUUUUAAAAUUAACAGAAUUCAACAGUUUUUAUUUGUAAUUAAUUAUAAAUUAAACAAACUCAGCAUAUAUAAAUUAUAUUGAAAUACAUGCGUAAGUCAAAUUGUUGUGAUAGUUUUUAAAUAAAAUUUGUUAUGAAAAA